CCACAUUGGAACUGAGACACGGUCCAAACUCCUACGGGAGGCAGCAGUGAGGAAUAUUGGUCAAUGGACGAGAGUCUGAACCAGCCAAGUAGCGUGAGGGAUGAAGGUCCUACGGAUUGUAAACUUCUUUUAUAAGGGAAUAAACCCUCCCACGUGUGGGAGCUUGUAUGUACCUUAUGAAUAAGCAUCGGCUAACUCCGUGCCAGCAGCCGCGGUAAUACGGAGGAUGCGAGCGUUAUCCGGAUUUAUUGGGUUUAAAGGGAGCGCAGACGGGUCGUUAAGUCAGCUGUGAAAGUUUGGGGCUCAACCUUAAAAUUGCAGUUGAUACUGGCGUCCUUGAGUGCGGUUGAGGUGUGCGGAAUUCGUGGUGUAGCGGUGAAAUGCUUAGAUAUCACGAAGAACUCCGAUUGCGAAGGCAGUACACUAAUCCGUAACUGACGUUCAUGCUCGAAAGUGUGGGUAUCAAACAGGAUUAGAUACCCUGGUAGUCCACACGGUAAACGAUGGAUACUCGCUGUUGGCGAUAUACUGUCAGCGGCUUAGCGAAAGCGUUAAGUAUCCCACCUGGGGAGUACGCCGGCAACGGUGCAACUCAAAUGAAUUGACGG
Molecule: ribosomal RNA, 608 nt
Filed under: uncultured Bacteroidota bacterium
Lineage: Bacteria; Pseudomonadati; Bacteroidota
Description: bacterial SSU rRNA
Rfam family: Bacterial small subunit ribosomal RNA
Source: RNAcentral